Molecule: ribosomal RNA, 468 nt
Filed under: uncultured bacterium
Lineage: Bacteria
Description: partial 16S ribosomal RNA
Rfam family: Bacterial small subunit ribosomal RNA
Source: RNAcentral
GACGAACGCUGGCGGCGUGCUUAACACAUGCAAGUCGAACGGAAAGGCCCUGCUUUUGUGGGGUGCUCGAGUGGCGAACGGGUGAGUAACACGUGAGUAACCUGCCCUUGACUUUGGGAUAACUUCAGGAAACUGGGGCUAAUACCGGAUAGGAGCUCCUGCUGCUUGGUGGGGGUUGGAAAGUUUCGGCGGUUGGGGAUGGACUCGCGGCUUAUCAGCUUGUUGGUGGGGUAGUGGCUUACCAAGGCUUUGACGGGUAGCCGGCCUGAGAGGGUGACCGGCCACAUUGGGACUGAGAUACGGCCCAGACUCCUACGGGAGGCAGCAGUGGGGAAUAUUGCACAAUGGGAGGAAGCCUGAUGCAGCAACGCCGCGUGCGGGAUGACGGCCUUCGGGUUGUAAACCGCUUUCGCCUGUGACGAAGCGUGAGUGACGGUAAUGGGUAAAGAAGCACCGGCUAACUACGUG